UACAGAGGUCUCAAGCGUUGUUCGGAUUCAUUGGGCGUAAAGGGUGCGUAGGCGGCGCGGUAAGUCGGGUGUGAAAUCUCGGAGCUUAACUCCGAAACUGCAUUCGAUACUGCCGUGCUUGAGGACUGGAGAGGAGACUGGAAUUUACGGUGUAGCGGUGAAAUGAGUAGAGAUCAGGAAGAACAUCGGUGGCGAAGGCGCUCUGCUGGACCAUAACUGACACUCAGGGACGAAAGCUAGGGGAGCGAAUGGG
This 253-nucleotide ribosomal RNA is filed under the name uncultured bacterium. Its description in RNAcentral is "partial 16S ribosomal RNA". It matches the Rfam family "Bacterial small subunit ribosomal RNA", at positions 524 to 776 of the family's 1533-position model. The record is from RNAcentral.